Molecule: long non-coding RNA, 2594 nt
Filed under: Canis lupus familiaris (dog)
Lineage: Eukaryota; Metazoa; Chordata; Mammalia; Carnivora; Canidae
Description: lncRNA (ENSCAFG00845008049.1)
Source: RNAcentral
UUUUUUUUGUUGUUGUGGAGGAAGGAGAUGCAAAUGUUAGCACAGAGAACAAUUUACUGCAAACUAAGUUACUAAUCAAUAGCUGACAGUGGAACAGACCGUCCACUGCAGUUGUAAGAAUCAUAUUCAACCCAUGAUGGGAGAUGCUAGCAAGGGGGACUGCUCUGUUUAAAUUGUAUCUGUGUUUUGUAUUCAGACAUAAAUAAGCUUGCUGAUCGUAUCACUGUCUCAGAUUUAUGGUAAACACAGGAGAGCACAAGAAUUUCAGAAAACCUCCCUGGGUCUUGCAAUUUUCUUAGAGUAAAUACCUUCCACUCCCUCUUUGAAUGAAAGAAAACAUGGGAUGAGAGUCCAGAAAACUCCUAAAAUUCACAGCUAGGAAACCAAGGCUUCAUAGAAAAUAUUGGAUUAGACAGCCUGAAGUUAGGGCAACACUGUGAAAAGAGCUCAAAAUAUGUUUUACGACCAACGCAAAGUGCAUGCAGAAUAAUGAUCCCCUGCUACAUAGAGUCCUACAAUGGUAUUUUACACAUCUUAAAUUAAUCAUGAUGGGGAUCACAUAAUUAACUCCCACUUAACAUUAUCAUUCUGGGCUCUCGAGAAACUUGCCAGGUCCUCCCUCCACUAGAGCGCCAACAAAAUGACUAUAAAUUCGUUUUUGUCACAGAUAGCAAACAUGAAGAGAGGCUCCUUCCCCAUCCCCUUCCCCAUGGUGGUCUUCAGGCAAAUAUUCUCCCCUUACUGACUACAUGAUACAGAGCUGCGGAUUCCUGGCCUUGGAGUCUUCCAGAGAAGCCCCCACAUACCCCCUAAGGCAUCUGCUAUUAGUUUCCAGGAUACCUGGCUGGCCACCUCCUCUUUUGGCAGCCUCUUCUGCUUCCGUGGAAGACUCCCCUCCGGCCCCCCCUCCUUUCUGCUUCCCUACUCCCUAAUCCCCUUUCUUUGUCAUUAUCUCUACAGGAAAGACCAGCAAUUUCCAAAUAAUGGCAUCAAAUCUGCAAAGUUGCUGAAAAGUUGUAUAGAAUAUUAGAGGUUCAUAUAAGAAGAAAAAGAGUAUAUGUGUGCGUUCCCCAAAUUUACUAAAUGUGGCAUAUGUCUUCAGUAGGGCAACCAGCCCCUUGGUUCCUUGAGCUGAGGGGCUGUGGCUCAUAUAUCUGCCUGCCUCACUCACCUCUCCCAAGGGGGCCCACAGGACUCCUUGAAAAAAUCCGUGAAUACCUCCUCUUGCCUCUAUGAGACUGAAACCAAACCAGGAGGAGGAUGAGCUCAGAGGUGUCAUUGUCUUCCACCCUUGGCUGGCUAUGAAAUGAAGGCUGCUCUUGAACCUUCACAAUGAGUCACUAUCCCCCCUUUACAGAUAAGGAAAAGGAAAAGGAUGGUCACAAAGGUUAGGUGAGGGGCCCACGGAGAGUGCCUGUCCAUUGUCAGGGACAGAAACAGACUCCGAUCCAGAUCUGGCUGGCCCGACAACCGGGUACAGAUGCCAGCAGUGCAUCAUCUGACAGUGACUAACUUCUCCCACUUCUGUGAGUGUAGACAUAGUCAUUUAAAUCAUUGCCCAGGCCUGGCUUCUCACCACAACACAGACACAAUCAUUUUUUACAUGGGUAAAUUGACCAAAAAGGUCUUCUAGGUCAACUAAUCAGUAACGUCCUUUGCAGCCUAAAGUUACACGAGGGACAAAAUCAUUUCUCUGGUUCCUUGGAGAAGACAUACCUCAAAUGAGCUACAAGACGGUGAGUGGCUUAACUGGGAUGCGUGACUUCAAGAGCAUUGAGUAGAAGUCUGGUAGCAGGAUGAAACGGAUAUUUUCCUUAGUCAUCCUAGGACAAGUGAGUCUCAGAGAUCAUGAGACAAGAACUAGAUGAGAUUUUCUGGUCCUUUCUCCUGCCCGAAGAUAAUGCCUAAUGAUGAUGAUGGUAGGGAUCCCCAGAACGUCGCCCUGUGUAUAUCACAUAAUCAGCAGAGGUGAGGUAAAGGGGAGGGGUGUGCUGACAACAGUGCCGAUGUUAAUUAUGGCUUCCCGAGGGCAGCGUUCCAGUUACAUUACCUGUAACUUUCAAUUCUGGAGCUCUCUCUGCUCAAGUGAAUGAGCCAUCACAAAUGCUAGCUGACCAGCCGAUUUCUCAGAUAUAAUUAUGUUUUUCUGAUGAGGUUCAGGAAAGCUCAGGGCAUCAGGAGGACUUCUUGCCACCACACAUCACACCCAGAGCCCUUCUCUCCAGGUUCCAUUUGUAAAAGGACGAGUCAGCCUGGGUGGCCAUUUUCCACCCUUGAACCAGACCAUGGGUCAAUGGCUUCCAUGCCUUCCUUUCGCACUGCAGGUGACCUCCCAAAGUCCUGGAUCACAGCUGACUAAAUGAACUGGAUAAUUAAAAGAGGGGAUGAGCCAUGCCUUGAGAUUUUGCCUGCCUCAUCAAGAACAUUGUGCCCUUUUUAUCAAUCUACUGGGUUUUUUUGUUUUUAUUUUUCUCCUUUUGAAAAAUGAUUAGCCUUGAGAAACUUCCUAACCAUGGCACCAUCCACCAUUAGCUGUCAUGGCCAGAGUGUUUGAAAAGUUACAAAUGCACCCUGUGCUUAGAAAAUUCAGUUGA